Molecule: unclassified non-coding RNA, 206 nt
Filed under: Hevea brasiliensis (rubber tree)
Lineage: Eukaryota; Viridiplantae; Streptophyta; Magnoliopsida; Malpighiales; Euphorbiaceae
Source: RNAcentral
GAGAAUCCUUUCCAAAUUCCGUGCUUGUGAUAUUCUUGUGCCCUCCCGUACUGAUGGACUAAGGAAAAUAUGGUCUAAAGAGUUUUGAUCCUGUCGUGACGACUGUACGUUUGGAUGGCAGUGUCAAUACCAAAGAUGACAGGGAAUUGGGUUUGAUUGGAGGGAGGCGAUGAAACAUGAGUGACCUUGACGAACUAAUCCACCAG